GUUGUUUUCCAUUCGUUUGAUGUGGUUGUGCUUUUAAUUUUGUCAUUUGAUUAUGGACUUACCGUUUGAUUGUAUAGCUAGUUAAACCUCUUACUGGUAUAAAAGUCAUACAUAAUUGAUGUAUUUUGACAAUUACAUUGUUUGAAAACCAGAAUUAUGAAGAUUAAGAGUUUAAAAAAAACCAACAAGAAUCUGGCUGAGACCAACUCUAGUGUUGUGGUAGAAAACUCCCAAGUGUUAUGAAUGAAUUUGGAUAUUUUAUAAAGGUAUAUUAAAAGAGAUUGACUGCACAAAUGAUAUUACAAGCAGUAACAUGAUGAUAGUAACAACUAGAGCUAUUCAUGAGUAUCAUACAUUACUACACCUAAUUUUAUAUCUGUUCUACAAUAUUUGAUUCUGAUCUAGAAGUUCUUUUAUAAUCUUUGUUUAUCCUGCCGACAAGCUAACCAGUAAUACAAGUUGAUUAUCCGUGCUACAUUACAAAAGUAGUGGUACUCCAGAUAGUGGAGGAAAGAAUAAAGAAGAGAAAGGUUCUUUAAUAAGGUUUUGAUAAGAGAUUUAGAAUUUAUCUAAGAACCUAGGUUUGUAAGUCCCUCAGACGACG
Molecule: long non-coding RNA, 604 nt
Filed under: Mytilus galloprovincialis (Mediterranean mussel)
Lineage: Eukaryota; Metazoa; Mollusca; Bivalvia; Mytilida; Mytilidae
Source: RNAcentral